Molecule: long non-coding RNA, 357 nt
Organism: Sitophilus oryzae (rice weevil)
Lineage: Eukaryota; Metazoa; Arthropoda; Insecta; Coleoptera; Curculionidae
Exons: 2
Source: RefSeq, a predicted model, not a curated record
ACUUAAUAAUAAAUCAAACAAUAAUAAUAAGUUAAAUGCAAUUACAACUAGAUACAAUUGAUAAGAGUUUAAGAUCAUUAAUAAAUAAAAGUAUUAAAAUAAGUUAAAUGCUAAAAUUAAUUAUUUAGAGACUAAAUAUGAAUGAGGUGAAAUAUAAUUUAAGAAAACUUCAAGAAGCUGGCAACACCGUUAGACCCGUUGAUGAUUUGACGUUUCUGCCCUAACCACAAAUUAAUUAAUCUAAACAAAAAUCACAAUCAGAUUAUUUAUUAAUAAUAAUUAUUGAAGGUAUUAUUGUUAUUAAAAAGCAACCAAACAACUAACAAAAUGCAAUGAAUAUUUCCACUUGAACAGAAG